UGGAACUCUUGCCAAGUGCUAGUUAGAGAUU
This 31-nucleotide non-coding RNA is filed under the name Mus musculus (house mouse). Lineage: Eukaryota; Metazoa; Chordata; Mammalia; Rodentia; Muridae. The record is from RNAcentral.